RNAcentral lists this ribosomal RNA (230 nucleotides) under uncultured Flavobacteriales bacterium. Its description in RNAcentral is "partial 16S ribosomal RNA". It matches the Rfam family "Bacterial small subunit ribosomal RNA", at positions 104 to 334 of the family's 1533-position model. The record is from RNAcentral. Lineage: Bacteria; Pseudomonadati; Bacteroidota; Flavobacteriia; Flavobacteriales.
GGGUGCGUAACGCGUAUACAAUCUGCCUUUCACAUAGGGAUAGCCCGAAGAAAUUUGGAUUAAUACCUAAUGGUAUAUAGAUGUGGCAUCACAUUUAUAUUAAAGCUGAGGCGGUGAAAGAUGAGUAUGCGUUCUAUUAGCUAGUUGGAGAGGUAACGGCUCCCCAAGGCUACGAUAGAUAGGGGUUCUGAGAGGGAUAUCCCCCACACUGGUACUGAGAUACGGACCAG